GACGAACGCUGGCGGCGUGCUUAACACAUGCAAGUCGAACGCUGAAGCCCUUUCGGGGGUGGAUGAGUGGCGAACGGGUGAGUAACACGUGGGUAAUCUGCCCUGCACUCUGGGAUAAGCCUUGGAAACGGGGUCUAAUACCGGAUAGGAGACAUCGCCGCAUGGUGUGUGUGUGGAAAGUUCCGGCGGUGCAGGUUGAGCCCGCGGCCUAUCAGCUUGUUGGUGGGGUGAUGGCCUACCAAGGCGACGACGGGUAGCCGGCCUGAGAGGGUGAACGGCCACAGUGGGACUGAGACACGGCCCAGACUCCUACGGGAGGCAGCAGUGGGGAAUCUUGCGCAAUGGGCGAAAGCCUGACGCAGCAACGCCGCGUGGGGAUGACGGCCUUCGGGUUGUAAACCUCUUUCGACCGGGACGAAGGGUGACUGACGGUACCGGUAGAAGAAGCACCGGCUAACUACGUGCCAGCCGCCGCCGUAA
This 480-nucleotide ribosomal RNA is filed under the name uncultured bacterium. RNAcentral's name for it is "partial 16S ribosomal RNA". It matches the Rfam family "Bacterial small subunit ribosomal RNA", at positions 28 to 523 of the family's 1533-position model. The record is from RNAcentral.